Molecule: ribosomal RNA, 497 nt
Filed under: uncultured bacterium
Lineage: Bacteria
Description: partial 16S ribosomal RNA
Rfam family: Bacterial small subunit ribosomal RNA
Source: RNAcentral
GAUGAACGCUGGCGGCGUGCCUAACACAUGCAAGUCGAGCGAACAGACGAGGAGCUUGCUCCUCUGACGUUAGCGGCGGACGGGUGAGUAACACGUGGAUAACCUACCUAUAAGACUGGGAUAACUUCGGGAAACCGGAGCUAAUACCGGAUAAUAUAUUGAACCGCAUGGUUCAAUAGUGAAAGACGGUUUUGCUGUCACUUAUAGAUGGAUCCGCGCCGCAUUAGCUAGUUGGUAAGGUAACGGCUUACCAAGGCAACGAUGCGUAGCCGACCUGAGAGGGUGAUCGGCCACACUGGAACUGAGACACGGUCCAGACUCCUACGGGAGGCAGCAGUAGGGAAUCUUCCGCAAUGGGCGAAAGCCUGACGGAGCAACGCCGCGUGAGUGAUGAAGGUCUUCGGAUCGUAAAACUCUGUUAUUAGGGAAGAACAAAUGUGUAAGUAACUAUGCACGUCUUGACGGUACCUAAUCAAAAAGCCACGGCUAACUACGUG